This 67-nucleotide transfer RNA is filed under the name Septaria lineata. Its description in RNAcentral is "tRNA-Met". The record is from RNAcentral. Lineage: Eukaryota; Metazoa; Mollusca; Gastropoda; Cycloneritida; Neritidae.
GGUAAAGUAAGCUAAAUAUUAAGCUAUCGGGUUCAUACCCCGAAAAUGGGUGGAUGCCUCUUUACCA